This 390-nucleotide ribosomal RNA is filed under the name Priestia megaterium. Its description in RNAcentral is "bacterial SSU rRNA". It matches the Rfam family "Bacterial small subunit ribosomal RNA", at positions 351 to 733 of the family's 1533-position model. The record is from RNAcentral. Lineage: Bacteria; Bacillati; Bacillota; Bacilli; Caryophanales; Bacillaceae.
GCAGUAGGGAAUCUUCCGCAAUGGACGAAAGUCUGACGGAGCAACGCCGCGUGAGUGAUGAAGGCUUUCGGGUCGUAAAACUCUGUUGUUAGGGAAGAACAAGUACAAGAGUAACUGCUUGUACCUUGACGGUACCUAACCAGAAAGCCACGGCUAACUACGUGCCAGCAGCCGCGGUAAUACGUAGGUGGCAAGCGUUAUCCGGAAUUAUUGGGCGUAAAGCGCGCGCAGGCGGUUUCUUAAGUCUGAUGUGAAAGCCCACGGCUCAACCGUGGAGGGUCAUUGGAAACUGGGGAACUUGAGUGCAGAAGAGAAAAGCGGAAUUCCACGUGUAGCGGUGAAAUGCGUAGAGAUGUGGAGGAACACCAGUGGCGAAGGCGGCUUUUUGGU